RNAcentral lists this ribosomal RNA (454 nucleotides) under uncultured Rikenellaceae bacterium. RNAcentral's name for it is "partial 16S ribosomal RNA". It matches the Rfam family "Bacterial small subunit ribosomal RNA", at positions 341 to 792 of the family's 1533-position model. The record is from RNAcentral. Lineage: Bacteria; Pseudomonadati; Bacteroidota; Bacteroidia; Bacteroidales; Rikenellaceae.
ACGGAAGGCAGCAGUGAGGAAUAUUGGUCAAUGGACGGAAGUCUGAACCAGCCAUGCCGCGUGAAGGAAUAAGGCCCUAUGGGUCGUAAACUUCUUUUGUGGUGGAGCAAUAAGGUGCACGUGUGCAUCGAUGAGAGUACAUCACGAAUAAGCAUCGGCUAACUCCGUGCCAGCAGCCGCGGUAAUACGGAGGAUGCAAGCGUUAUCCGGAUUUAUUGGGUUUAAAGGGUGCGUAGGCUGUUCUUCAAGUCAGAGGUGAAAUACCCGGGCCUAACUCGGGAACUGCCUUUGAUACUGGAGGGCUUGAAUACUGUUGCCGUGGGAGGAAUGAGUAGUGUAGCGGUGAAAUGCAUAGAUAUUACUCAGAACACCGAUUGCGAAGGCAUCUCACGAAGCAGCGAUUGACGCUGAGGCACGAAAGCGUGGGGAUCAAACAGGAUUAGAUACCCUGGUA